ACAAGCGGAGGAGCAUGUGGUUUAAUUCGAUGAUACGCGAGGAACCUUACCUGGGCUCGAACGUAAGAUGACUGUAAGGUGAAAAGCUUUACAUCUCUUCGGAGCAUUUUACGAGGUGCUGCAUGGUUGUCGUCAGCUCGUGCCGUGAGGUGUCGGGUUAAGUCCCAUAACGAGCGCAACCCUACCUUAGUUGCCAUCAGGUAAUGCUGGGGACUCUAAAGGAACUGCCUACGCAAGUAGUGAGGAAGCGGGGAUGACGUCAAAUCAGCACGGCCCUUACGUCCAGGGCUACACACGUGCUACAAUGGCCGAUACAGAGGGCAGCUACCUGGUGACAGGAUGCAAAUCUCCAAAGUCGGUCUCAGUUCGGAUCGGAGUCUGCAACCCGACUCCGUGAAGUUGGAUUCGCUAGUAAUCGCGCAUCAGCCAUGGCGCGGUGAAUACGUUCCCGGGCCUU
RNAcentral lists this ribosomal RNA (457 nucleotides) under uncultured Sphingobacteriales bacterium. RNAcentral describes it as "bacterial SSU rRNA". It matches the Rfam family "Bacterial small subunit ribosomal RNA", at positions 925 to 1382 of the family's 1533-position model. The record is from RNAcentral. Lineage: Bacteria; Pseudomonadati; Bacteroidota; Sphingobacteriia; Sphingobacteriales.